This 447-nucleotide ribosomal RNA is filed under the name uncultured bacterium. RNAcentral describes it as "bacterial SSU rRNA". It matches the Rfam family "Bacterial small subunit ribosomal RNA", at positions 355 to 825 of the family's 1533-position model. The record is from RNAcentral.
UCGGGAAUUUUGGGCAAUGGGCGAAAGCCUGACCCAGCAACGCCGCGUGAAGGAUGAAGUAUUUCGGUAUGUAAACUUCGAAAGAAUAGGAAGAAUAAAUGACGGUACUAUUUAUAAGGUCCGGCUAACUACGUGCCAGCAGCCGCGGUAAUACGUAGGGACCAAGCGUUGUUCGGAAUCACUGGGCGUAAAGCGCACGUAGGCGGAUAGUUAAGUCAGGGGUGAAAUCCUGGGGCUCAACCCCAGAACUGCCUUUGAUACUGGCUGUCUCGAGGUCGAGAGAGGUUGGUGGAAUUCCUAGUGUAGAGGUGAAAUUCGUAGAUAUUAGGAAGAACACCAGUGGCGAAGGCGGCCAACUGGCUCGAUACUGACGCUGAGGUGCGAAAGCGUGGGGAGCAAACAGGAUUAGAUACCCUAGUAGUCCCUGAGCGGGCUGGCAAGGCGCAU